RNAcentral lists this ribosomal RNA (449 nucleotides) under uncultured bacterium. RNAcentral describes it as "partial 16S ribosomal RNA". It matches the Rfam family "Bacterial small subunit ribosomal RNA", at positions 329 to 792 of the family's 1533-position model. The record is from RNAcentral.
UGCCAGACUCCUACGGGAGGCAGCAGUGGGGAAUAUUGGGCAAUGGGGGCAAGCCUGACCCAGCAACGCCGCGUGAAGGAAGAAGGAUUUCGGGUUGUAAACUUCUUUCAGCAGGGACGAAGGAAGUGACGGUACCUGAGUAAUAAGCCACGGCUAACUACGUGCCAGCAGCCGCGGUAAUACGUAGGGGGCAAGCGUUAUCCGGAUUUACUGGGUGUAAAGGGAGCGUAGACGGCAGCGCAAGUCCGGGGUGAAAGGCCGGGGCCCAACCCCGGGACUGCUUUGGAAACUGUGGAGCUGGAGUGCGGGAGGGGCAGGCGGAAUUCCUGGUGUAGCGGUGAAAUGCGUAGAUAUCAGGAGGAACACCAGCGGCGAAGGCGGCCUGCUGGACCGUAACUGACGUUGAGGCUCGAAAGCGUGGGGAGCAAACAGGAUUAGAUACCCGCGUA